Molecule: ribosomal RNA, 358 nt
Filed under: uncultured eukaryote
Lineage: Eukaryota
Description: SSU rRNA
Rfam family: Eukaryotic small subunit ribosomal RNA
Source: RNAcentral
GUAGCGUAUAUUAAAGUUGUUGCAGUUAAAAAGCUCGUAGUUGGAUUUCUGACAAAGCGGGGCGGCCCGUGCUCUUAAUGGGUGCUGUGUGCCGUGUCAUGUUUGUCAUCCUUCCAGAGAGCUACGUCUACCAUUCAUUUGGCCGGACGUACGUGAUCUGAAUCGAUUACUUUGAAAAAAUUAGAGUGUUUAAAGCAGGCUUAUGCUGUGAAUACAUUAGCAUGGAAUAAUAAUUUAGGACUUCGGUCCUAUUUUGUUGGUUUCUAGGACAGAAGUAAUGAUUGAUAGGGACAGUUGGGGGUGCUAGUAUUCCGCGGCCAGAGGUGAAAUUCUUGGAUUCGCGGAAGACUAACUACUG